GACGAACGCUGGCGGCGUGCUUAACACAUGCAAGUCGAGCGGUAAGGCCCUUUUGGGGGUACACGAGCGGCGAACGGGUGAGUAACACGUGGGUGACCUGCCCUCAGCUCUGGGAUAAGCCUGGGAAACUGGGUCUAAUACUGGAUAUGACCUUUCCUCGCAUGGGGUUGGGUGGAAAGUUUUUCGGCUGGGGAUGGGCCCGCGGCCUAUCAGCUUGUUGGUGGGGUGAUGGCCUACCAAGGCGACGACGGGUAGCCGGCCUGAGAGGGCGACCGGCCACACUGGGACUGAGACACGGCCCAGACUCCUACGGGAGGCAGCAGUGGGGAAUAUUGCGCAAUGGGCGGAAGCCUGACGCAGCGACGCCGCGUGGGGGAUGACGGCCUCGGUUGUAAC
This 396-nucleotide ribosomal RNA is filed under the name uncultured bacterium. RNAcentral describes it as "bacterial SSU rRNA". It matches the Rfam family "Bacterial small subunit ribosomal RNA", at positions 28 to 429 of the family's 1533-position model. The record is from RNAcentral.